GCCUCUGUAGCACAGUGGUAGUGCGUCGCACUCGUAUUUAAUGCAGUGCUCAUGCGAAGGUCCUGGGUUCAAUCCCCAGUGGAGGCA
Non-coding RNA from Thozetella sp. PMI_491, 87 nucleotides. NCBI's taxonomy places the organism in Eukaryota, Fungi, Ascomycota, Sordariomycetes, Chaetosphaeriales, Chaetosphaeriaceae. The record is from the annotation of a GenBank genome assembly.